UACAGAGGGUGCGAGCGUUAAUCGGAAUUACUGGGCGUAAAGCGUGCGUAGACGGUUAUGUAAGUUAGGUGUGAAAGCCCCGGGCUCAACCUGGGAAUUGCAUUUAAGACUGCAUAGCUAGGGUGCGGAAGAGGGAAGCGGAAUUUCCGGUGUAGCGGUGAAAUGCGUAGAUAUCGGAAGGAACACCAGUGGCGAAGGCGGCUUCCUGGACUAAUACUGACGCUGAGGUGCGAAAGCGUGGGGAGCAAACAGG
RNAcentral lists this ribosomal RNA (253 nucleotides) under uncultured bacterium. RNAcentral's name for it is "partial 16S ribosomal RNA". It matches the Rfam family "Bacterial small subunit ribosomal RNA", at positions 524 to 776 of the family's 1533-position model. The record is from RNAcentral.